Molecule: ribosomal RNA, 425 nt
Filed under: uncultured bacterium
Lineage: Bacteria
Description: partial 16S ribosomal RNA
Rfam family: Bacterial small subunit ribosomal RNA
Source: RNAcentral
GUGGGGAAUAUUGGACAAUGGGCGCAAGCCUGAUCCAGCCAUGCCGCGUGAGUGAUGAAGGCCUUAGGGUUGUAAAGCUCUUUCGUCAGGGAAGAUAAUGACGGUACCUGAAGAAGAAGCCCCGGCUAACUUCGUGCCAGCAGCCGCGGUAAUACGAAGGGGGCUAGCGUUGCUCGGAAUCACUGGGCGUAAAGCGCACGUAGGCGGCUUUCUAAGUCAGGGGUGAAAUCCUGGAGCUCAACUCCAGAACUGCCUUUGAUACUGGAGAGCUUGAGGUCGGGAGAGGUGAGUGGAACUGCGAGUGUAGAGGUGAAAUUCGUAGAUAUUCGCAAGAACACCAGUGGCGAAGGCGGCUCACUGGCCCGAUACUGACGCUGAGGUGCGAAAGCGUGGGGAGCAAACAGGACUAGAUACCCCAGUAGUCC